AGCAGCCGCGGUAAUUCCAGCUCCAAUAGCGUAUAUUAAAGUUGCUGCAGUUAAAAAGCUCGUAGUUGAAUUUCGGGACUAAUAUGUCGGUCGUGCCUCGGUACGUACUGGUUUAUUGGUUUCUCCUUUCUGAAGAACCAUGAUGUCAUUUAUUUGGUGUCGUGGGGAAUCAGGACUGUUACUUUGAAAAAAUUAGAGUGUUUAAAGCAGGCUCACGCUUGAAUACAUUAGCAUGGAAUAAUGAAAUAGGACGUUUGAUUCUAUUUUGUUGGUUUCUAGGAUCGACGUAAUGAUUAAUAGGGAUAGUUGGGGGCAUUAGUAUUCAAUUGUCAGAGGUGAAAUUCUUGGAUUUAUUGAAGACUAACUACUGCGAAAGCAUUUGCCAAGGAUGUUUUCAUUAAUCAAGAACGAGAGUUAGGGGAUCGAAGACGAUCAGAUACCGUCGUAGUCUUAACCAUAAACUAUGCCGACUAGGGAUCGGAUGAUGUUAAUUUUUAAUGACUCAUUCGGCGCCUUAACC
RNAcentral lists this ribosomal RNA (520 nucleotides) under uncultured Glomus. RNAcentral describes it as "SSU rRNA". It matches the Rfam family "Eukaryotic small subunit ribosomal RNA", at positions 569 to 1093 of the family's 1831-position model. Lineage: Eukaryota; Fungi; Glomeromycota; Glomeromycetes; Glomerales; Glomeraceae. The record is from RNAcentral.